AAUAGAUACCCGGGUAGUCCACGCCGUAAACGGUGGGCACUAGGUGUGGGCAGCAUUCCACGUUGUCCGUGCCGUAGCUAACGCAUUAAGUGCCCCGCCUGGGGAGUACGGCCGCAAGGCUAAAAACUCAAAGGAAUUGACGGGGGCCCGCACAAGCGGCGGAGCAUGUGGCUUAAUUCGACGCAACGCGAAGAACCUUACCAAGGCUUGACAUACACCGGAAACAUCCAGAGAUGGGUGCCCCCUUGUGGUCGGUGUACAGGUGGUGCAUGGCUGUCGUCAGCUCGUGUCGUGAGAUGUUGGGUUAAGUCCCGCAACGAGCGCAACCCUUGUCCCGUGUUGCCAGCAGGCCCUUGUGGUGCUGGGGACUCACGGGGAGACCGCCGGGGGUUCAACUCGGAGGAAGGUGGGGACGACGUCAAGUCAUCAUGCCCCUUAUGUCUUGGGCUGCACACGUGCUACAAUGGCCGGUACAAAGAGCUGCGAUACCGUGAGGUGGAGCGAAUCUCAAAAAGCCGGUCUCGAGUUCGGAUUGGGGUCUGCAACCG
Molecule: ribosomal RNA, 548 nt
Filed under: uncultured bacterium
Lineage: Bacteria
Description: bacterial SSU rRNA
Rfam family: Bacterial small subunit ribosomal RNA
Source: RNAcentral